AUUGAACGCUAGCGGCAUGCUUUACACAUGCAAGUCGAACGGCAGCGCGGGCUUCGGCCUGGCGGCGAGUGGCGAACGGGUGAGUAAUGCAUCGGAACGUGCCCAGUAGUGGGGGAUAGCCCGGCGAAAGCCGGAUUAAUACCGCAUACGACCUGAGGGUGAAAGCGGGGGACCGAAAGGCCUCGCGCUAUUGGAGCGGCCGAUGUCGGAUUAGCUAGUUGGUGGGGUAAAGGCUUACCAAGGCGACGAUCCGUAGCUGGUCUGAGAGGACGACCAGCCACACGGGAACUGAGACACGGCCCAGACUCCUACGGGAGGCAGCAGUGGGGAAUUUUGGACAAUGGGGGCAACCCUGAUCCAGCCAUGCCGCGUGCGGGAAGAAGGCCUUCGGGUUGUAAACCGCUUUUGUUCGGGAAGAAAUCCUCUGGGCUAAUACCCCGGGGGGAUGACGGUACCGGAAGAAUAAGCACCGGCUAACUACGUG
This 484-nucleotide ribosomal RNA is filed under the name uncultured bacterium. Its description in RNAcentral is "partial 16S ribosomal RNA". It matches the Rfam family "Bacterial small subunit ribosomal RNA", at positions 29 to 507 of the family's 1533-position model. The record is from RNAcentral.